AAACAUUUGUCUCGAACUUUCAAUAAACCCUUGAAGAUAAAUCAUUUUUCAACUAUUCACAUAAAAAUAAAUAAGUUGAAAAAAAAGAAGAAGCACUUUCUUAACUCUCUCUUUGAUCCAAACAGGGAACAUCACUCUCUCUUUCUCUCUCAUUUCAGAACUCUCUCUCUCCACCCACACUCUUCCACCCACUCACAUUCAGGUAUCCGUACCCUCUGUGAGUGCCACGGUUGCUACACCGUCCUCUCACAAAAUCACACCACAAACAAACUGUAUCAGCAAAAUGUCAAAAAAACUCUGAAUUAG
Non-coding RNA from Vicia faba (fava bean), 306 nucleotides. The record is from the annotation of a GenBank genome assembly. NCBI's taxonomy places the organism in Eukaryota, Viridiplantae, Streptophyta, Magnoliopsida, Fabales, Fabaceae.